This is a long non-coding RNA of Hirundo rustica (Barn swallow), 454 nucleotides long. RefSeq lists it as uncharacterized. The record is from RefSeq and is a predicted model, not a curated record. NCBI's taxonomy places the organism in Eukaryota, Metazoa, Chordata, Aves, Passeriformes, Hirundinidae. The transcript is spliced from 3 exons.
GAAGAGGCUGUAAUUUUUUUCAAGUGUAAUAAUGAAGAGAUUUCAUAUUUCUGACAGUGAUUUUAUAUGUAAAUUCAUGUACAGUCUAGAAUUUUGAAAGGGAUCUUGGCUGGGCAUGUUAAAGGAGGUCUGAUUUCUCAAAAGAGCAGGAAGUACAAAACUAUUCCUUUCAAGGACAACAAGGAUGAUGUCUUGGGGAGUACCCAAGUUGGAGUUACUUCUGGCAACUUGGAUGCCAAUUUGCUGCAGGAUCUCUCUGCUGCAGGAUGAGCAUUUUACACAACCCUGUUCCUGGGUCACUGCCUUUGAGAGGAAGGUUUUAAGGCAGCAAUUAGCAGAGAUAACAUUACUGUUCUGAAUAAUAUUGCCACAAUUUCUGGGUAUGCCAUGUCCUUCUGUCCAUCUGUCUUGAAUGCUUGCAGUGCUGCAGGGAAGAGCUGUUUUUCUUGAUAGC